Molecule: ribosomal RNA, 253 nt
Filed under: uncultured bacterium
Lineage: Bacteria
Description: partial 16S ribosomal RNA
Rfam family: Bacterial small subunit ribosomal RNA
Source: RNAcentral
UACGUAGGGUCCGAGCGUUGUCCGGGAUUACUGGGCGUAAAGAGCUCGUAGGUGGUUUGUCGCGUUGUUCGUGAAAACUCACAGCUCAACUGUGGGCGUGCGGGCGAUACGGGCAGACUUGAGUUCGGUAGGGGAGACUGGAAUUCCUGGUGUAGCGGUGAAAUGCGCAGAUAUCAGGAGGAACACCGGUGGCGAAGGCGGGUCUCUGGGCCGAUACUGACGCUGAGGAGCGAAAGCGUGGGGAGCGAACAGG